GGCCGGUGAUGUAAUCAAAAUAUUUGCUACUCUUGAUGAAGUAAUUCAUUUGAUGAGAUUUAACCACCAAGAUCUCUGAGGCC
Molecule: small nucleolar RNA, 83 nt
Organism: Arabis alpina (gray rockcress)
Lineage: Eukaryota; Viridiplantae; Streptophyta; Magnoliopsida; Brassicales; Brassicaceae
Rfam family: Small nucleolar RNA SNORD24
About the family: U24 is a member of the C/D class of snoRNA which contain the C (UGAUGA) and D (CUGA) box motifs. C/D box snoRNAs have been shown to act as methylation guides for a number of RNA targets.
Source: Rfam